Zootermopsis nevadensis is the source of this 776-nucleotide non-coding RNA. Lineage: Eukaryota; Metazoa; Arthropoda; Insecta; Blattodea; Termopsidae. The record is from RefSeq and is a predicted model, not a curated record.
AAUUGGUUCUGUUGUGAAAAGUAGAGUGUAUUUUUCUUCCAUGUCCGUGAGAUUGAAACUGGAAGAAAAGUUUGAUGUUUCAUUGCAGGUGAUACGCCAUUUGAAUUAUGUUUAACAUGGCCCAGUUAUGCUCAUGAAAUUUGAGGCAGUGGUGUGUUGUUUCAGCCAUUACAUUGUUUGUUAAUUGUAAAGAGAAAAGGUCGCGAAAAAUUUGAGUUUCUUGGUGUUUUAGUAUGUAUUACUUAAAAAUGUAGCCUCACAUUCUGCACCGAAUGGUAUUUCAAGCAACCCUAUGCUGCGCAAGCGCAGUGGAUUGAUCCACCAACUCGUUAUUGGUUGACAGUGUCACGUCAUUACGUAAUACGUUGUCUUGUGAAGUAAUGGCGUGGUUCGUCAAAAUGGCCAUUUGAACUAAGUGCUUGAGAUGUCCUGGAAUGAUUCCUCCGUACAGAUCACAUAUUGGAAAACCAUGAUAAUCAACAAUACAUAUCCAGUGAUGAGACCUACUGCAAGCUUUUGGACAAUAGAGAUUGAUAAGAAAUAUGAGCAUUUGUCUAAUACAAAUAUGAGGCACAGUUAGGCAUUUCCUCAGCGAUGGGUCGGACUAGGAGGGUGGAUAGCCUGGCCUCCACGCUUUCCAGAUCUUACCCCCUAUGGAUUUUUAUUUGUGGGGUUAUGUGAAGCAACAAGUGUUCUCUGUCCAAAUAAUAAAUUUGGACCAUUUGAAAGAACGGAUCGCUGAAGAUGUUUCAUCUAUCACACCGGAUGUUCUCGGU